RNAcentral lists this ribosomal RNA (497 nucleotides) under uncultured bacterium. RNAcentral describes it as "partial 16S ribosomal RNA". It matches the Rfam family "Bacterial small subunit ribosomal RNA", at positions 28 to 507 of the family's 1533-position model. The record is from RNAcentral.
GAUGAACGCUGGCGGCGUGCCUAAUACAUGCAAGUCGAGCGAACAGACGAGGAGCUUGCUCCUCUGACGUUAGCGGCGGACGGGUGAGUAACACGUGGAUAACCUACCUAUAAGACUGGGAUAACUUCGGGAAACCGGAGCUAAUACCGGAUAAUAUAUUUAACCGCAUGGUUCAAUAGUGAAAGACGGUUUUGCUGUCACUUAUAGAUGGAUCCGCGCCGCAUUAGCUAGUUGGUAAGGUAACGGCUUACCAAGGCAAGGAUGCGUAGCCGACCUGAGAGGGUGAUCGGCCACACGGGAACUGAGACACGGUCCAGACUCCUACGGGAGGCAGCAGUAGGGAAUCUUCCGCAAUGGGCGAAAGCCUGACGGAGCAACGCCGCGUGAGUGAUGAAGGUCUUCGGAUCGUAAAACUCUGUUAUUAGGGAAGAACAAAUGUGUAAGUAACUAUGCACGUCUUGACGGUACCUAAUCAGAAAGCCACGGCUAACUACGUG